This 381-nucleotide ribosomal RNA is filed under the name Microascus hyalinus. Its description in RNAcentral is "LSU rRNA". It matches the Rfam family "Eukaryotic large subunit ribosomal RNA", at positions 259 to 662 of the family's 3401-position model. Lineage: Eukaryota; Fungi; Ascomycota; Sordariomycetes; Microascales; Microascaceae. The record is from RNAcentral.
GAAGUNGAGUUGUUUGGGAAUGCUGCUCAAAAUGGGAGGUAAACCCCUUCUAAAGCUAAAUACCGGCCAGAGACCGAUAGCGCACAAGUAGAGUGAUCGAAAGAUGAAAAGCACUUUGAAAAGAGAGUUAAAAAGCACGUGAAAUUGUUGAAAGGGAAGCGCUUGCGACCAGACUCGCGCCCGCCGGAUCAGCCGUCGCUUGUCGGCGGCGCACUCCGGCGGGCUCGGGCCAGCAUCAGUUCGCCUCGGGGGGAGAAAGGCGGCAGGAAUGUGGCUCUUCGGAGUGUUAUAGCCUGCCGCGUAAUACCCCCGGGCGGACUGAGGACCGCGCGUAUGCAAGGAUGCUGGCGUAAUGGUCGUCAGCNACCCGUCUUGAAACAC